AACAAGGGUGAUUUUGAUUAUUCAUACAUAAAAAAUAGUAAAAAUAUUUUAUGGAUGAUUGUACACGCAUCUUAAAAAGAAAAUGGACAACGUAUCGAUCUGCCCUCUCUUACCGACUAAACGUCGAAAAUACUGGUUUAUUUAAGUUCCAACUCUAUAGGAACAAAUGUAUAUGUAACAUUGAUGUAUAUAUUACGGUCCACGAACAUCCACGAUUUGCCGCGCCGAAACAAUCUGUAUGUGUGCGUACAUGUACGUGUGUUCUGUUAAAAGGAGUGGGUUGAGAGAGAAGGGAGAGACGAAAGCAGGAUAAUAUUAACAUCG
Molecule: long non-coding RNA, 324 nt
Organism: Apis cerana (Asiatic honeybee)
Lineage: Eukaryota; Metazoa; Arthropoda; Insecta; Hymenoptera; Apidae
Source: RefSeq, a predicted model, not a curated record